This 74-nucleotide transfer RNA is filed under the name Sedimentitalea todarodis. RNAcentral's name for it is "tRNA-Gly". It matches the Rfam family "tRNA". Rfam says of the family: Transfer RNA (tRNA) molecules are approximately 80 nucleotides in length. The record is from RNAcentral. RNAcentral also lists the same sequence under 1 other name. Lineage: Bacteria; Pseudomonadati; Pseudomonadota; Alphaproteobacteria; Rhodobacterales; Paracoccaceae.
GCGGGUGUAGCUCAAUGGUAGAGCACCUGGUUCCCAACCAGAUGACGGGAGUUCGAUUCUCCUCACCCGCUCCA